AUACGUAGGUGGCGAGCGUUGUCCGGAAUUACUGGGUGUAAAGGGCGUGUAGGCGGGGGUGCAAGUCAGAUGUGAAAACCCAAGGCUCAACUUUGGGAUUGCAUCUGAAACUGUGCUUCUUGAGUACUGGAGAGGGAAGCGGAAUUCCUAGUGUAGCGGUGAAAUGCGUAGAGAUUAGGAGGAACACCAGUGGCGAAGGCGGCUUCCUGGACAGAGACUGACGCUGAGGCGCGAAAGCGUGGGUAGCGAACAGGAUUAGAUACCCUGGUAGUCCACGCCGUAAACGAUGGAUACUAGGUGUAGGAGGUAUCGACUCCUUCUGUGCCGGAGUUAACACAAUAAGUAUCCCACCUGGGGAGUACGGCCGCAAGGUUGAA
This 377-nucleotide ribosomal RNA is filed under the name uncultured bacterium. Its description in RNAcentral is "bacterial SSU rRNA". It matches the Rfam family "Bacterial small subunit ribosomal RNA", at positions 523 to 898 of the family's 1533-position model. The record is from RNAcentral.